RNAcentral lists this long non-coding RNA (2076 nucleotides) under Canis lupus familiaris (dog). Its description in RNAcentral is "lncRNA (ENSCAFG00000054709.1)". Lineage: Eukaryota; Metazoa; Chordata; Mammalia; Carnivora; Canidae. The record is from RNAcentral.
AUGCUUGCUCAGUUUCUGGCAACAUGGUGAAGUAGAAAGCCUUGGUUUUCCAAGGGUGCUCUUGGACCAGUAGCAUUGACAUUACCUGGGAGCAAGUUAGAAAUGGAGAAUCUCAGGACUCUCUGGGACCCAUUGAAUUGUAUCUGCAUUUUAAUAAGAGUUUUAAGUGAUUCAUGUACUCAUUAAAGUUUGAAAAUUACUGAUACAUUGUUUAGACAUCAAAACAUGUUACCUAUCUUCUAGUUUCAGCUCUGCCUCUGUCUAGCUAGGUGGUCCUAUACCAGUCAGUUCGGUUCUUCAAACUGUGUUCCUUGGAGCUCUCGCAGCUCAGCUGUGAUUACCCAGAGGCCUAUGGUGAGGUCAGGAUUCCUAUCUGAGGCCUGAGCAACUCCAGUUUUAUUAGUUUAAUCCACUAGGCUUUAACAUGAGAUGCUAUUUGAACAAAAGGUUUGACUGUGAAGGAGAUGUGAGGCCUACUGUCCCUGAGGAGUUCUAAGGUAAUUUGCAGACCUAAAUUUUCUUGAAUUAUAAUAGCACUCAUUGAUAUGAAAAAUCUCUUUCAUAUACACAUGUCAGUUACUGAGACUGACAGUUUAGUUGCCUCUAGGAGUUUCCAUGAGUAGCAAAGAGAAACUCAGGUUGCCUGUCACUGUAUUUCCUACUGUUUUUCUAAUCUUAACCACAUAACUAUCUGAUUUUACCCCUUUUGACACUGCAGGAGAACUGCUUAUGAGACCUCAUUAUAGCUAUCUUUUAUUUAAUCAUUUUAUCAGUAUUGGUUUAUUUGGAUGCACUCUGGCCCUUAGCCAUCCAUUGACCUGUGUCAUUCAGUUUGCAUGCAUUAAUCUAAAAAGGGUUCAAAGGUCUGAGACACUCAGUGAUAUCCUAUGUCUGCCAAAGCAAUUUCCAGGCCUGUACUCCCUGGCGAGCUGAAGAGGACCAGACUCCCCAGUUCAUUUUUACUUGGCACUUGGAACUUUCUGCAACUGAGUCCUAGAGUGAGAAUCAAAGUCAUAGUUCCCUGAUUAGAGCUGUCUGCAUUGGGCAGAGAAAGAAAGCACCGUAAUAGCCCACUUCUAAAUGUGGUUCCUUCUUUCCUCAAGACAGCAGCAAACGCACUAGACCCAUAGUGUGGAGCCAUCACCCACCUUUUGGAUUUUCCACCUGAUAGCUUCAUCAGUCUAUUACUUAUUUAUAUGUUUAUUGGCUUUACAUGGCAUAUUUUCUCCAAAGAACUCACGAAAUGGAAGGAUUUGUUUUAGGAGUCUAUAAAAUACAUUCUUACUAGUUCACCUAUGGGAUUACAUGAAAUCAUUUUAUAUUCCCUCUCAUGUAUUGUGGUGGGAUUAUUAUAAAAAUACUCAAAUCUUUAAAUCUUCUUAGGGGCACAUAUAUUCCCCUUUCAAAAUGUAACCAUCAGGAAAAAAAGAGAAAUCUUCUCAAACAACUGACCAAUGUUCUUUUCUUAGAAAAAUCAAUCUCAUCAGCAGCUCAUAAAAUUCAAUUUCCCUGGUCAGGAACAAAGCAGAUAAUCAUCGCUUAACAAUAUUUAUGGCUGAUAGAAAUGCAGACUAAAUAAAAUUGGCCUCGAAAACUAUCAUCAAAUUCUUUAAAACAUUUUUGUUUAUCUUCAGAGGAUUUAUGAAGUGCUGGUGAGUAUUUUUUGUUUUUUUUCUCAAUUUCUAUUUUGUCCAACACACAUCAAAGGCACUCCAUAGAUAUUUAGUGAAAGGAUAAGGGGCAAGUAAAUGAACAAAGGAAAAUACAAAUGGCUACUAACUUGUGCAUGAUGCAUUACUAGAGACUGCUUAACAACAGACUGCGCUGCUUAAAGACAGAACACUGCAGUAAUGCUGCUGCUUUGGUUUAUAGAAAUUUUCAGAAAUUGAUAAAGUAAGAGAGCAAAAGUAAAUAUAGAUCUUCACUAGGUAACAAAAAAUAGAAAAAAAUAUAGAUCUUCACUAGGGAUGGUGAAAGAAUGGCAAGAUGAAGCAUGAAUGCUGUAGAUAAAGUAGAGUUCAAGGAAGAGAUGAUUGAAUAAAUACAAUACUUCCUUCCUUUUAGGAAAGUAUCAAC